UAGCAUAUCAAUAAGCGGAGGAAAAGAAACCAACCGGGAUUGCCUCAGUAACGGCGAGUGAAGCGGCAAGAGCUCAAAUUUGAAAUCUGGCCCCCUCGGGGUCCGAGUUGUAAUUUGCAGAGGAUGCUUCGGGUGCGGCCCCCGUCUAAGUGCCCUGGAACGGGCCGUCAUAGAGGGUGAGAAUCCCGUCUGGGACGGGGUGUCCGCGUCCGUGUGAAGCUCCUUCGACGAGUCGAGUUGUUUGGGAAUGCAGCUCUAAAUGGGUGGUAAAUUUCAUCUAAAGCUAAAUACUGGCCGGAGACCGAUAGCGCACAAGUAGAGUGAUCGAAAGAUGAAAAGCACUUUGAAAAGAGAGUUAAAAAGCACGUGAAAUUGUUGAAAGGGAAGCGCUUGCGACCAGACUCGCCCGCGGGGUUCAGCCGGCAUUCGUGCCGGUGUACUUCCCCGCGGGCGGGCCAGCGUCGGUUUGGGCGGCCGGUCAAAGGCCCCCGGAAUGUAGCACCCUUCGGGGUGCCUUAUAGCCGGGGGUGCAAUGCGGCCAGCCUGGACCGAGGAACGCGCUUCGGCACGGACGCUGGCAUAAUGGUCGUAAACGACCCGUCUUGAAACACGGACCAAGGAGUCUAACAUCUACGCGAGUGUUCGGGUGUCAAACCCGUGCGCGCAGUGAAAGCGAACGGAGGUGGGAGCCCCCCCGCGGGGCGCACCAUCGACCGAUCCUGAUGUCUUCGGAUGGAUUUGAGUAAGAGCGUAAAUGUGGGGACCCGAAAGAUGGUGAACUAUGCCUGAAUAGGGCGAAGCCAGAGGAAACUCUGGUGGAGGCUCGCAGCGGUUCUGACGUGCAAAUCGAUCGUCAAAUUUGGGUAUAGGGGCGAAAGACUAAUCGAACCAUCUGGUAGCUGGUUCCUGCGAGU
This 914-nucleotide ribosomal RNA is filed under the name Aspergillus melleus. Its description in RNAcentral is "LSU rRNA". It matches the Rfam family "Eukaryotic large subunit ribosomal RNA", at positions 36 to 967 of the family's 3401-position model. The record is from RNAcentral. Lineage: Eukaryota; Fungi; Ascomycota; Eurotiomycetes; Eurotiales; Aspergillaceae.